AAGGCUUUAAGUUAAUUAAACUUUCAACCUUCAAAGUUAAAUAUAUCAAAUUAUUGAUAAGUCUUA
RNAcentral lists this transfer RNA (66 nucleotides) under Anagonalia emeiensis. Its description in RNAcentral is "tRNA-Trp". The record is from RNAcentral. Lineage: Eukaryota; Metazoa; Arthropoda; Insecta; Hemiptera; Cicadellidae.